Molecule: ribosomal RNA, 1372 nt
Filed under: uncultured bacterium
Lineage: Bacteria
Description: bacterial SSU rRNA
Rfam family: Bacterial small subunit ribosomal RNA
Source: RNAcentral
GAUGAACGCUGGCGGCGUGCCUAAUACAUGCAAGUCGAGCGAACGGACGAGAAGCUUGCUUCUCUGAUGUUAGCGGCGGACGGGUGAGUAACACGUGGAUAACCUACCUAUAAGACUGGGAUAACUUCGGGAAACCGGAGCUAAUACCGGAUGAUAUUUUGAACCGCAUGGUUCAAAAGUGAAAGACGGUCUUGCUGUCACUUAUAGAUGGAUCCGCGCUGCAUUAGCUAGUUGGUAAGGUAACGGCUUACCAAGGCAACGAUGCAUAGCCGACCUGAGAGGGUGAUCGGCCACACUGGAACUGAGACACGGUCCAGACUCCUACGGGAGGCAGCAGUAGGGAAUCUUCCGCAAUGGGCGAAAGCCUGACGGAGCAACGCCGCGUGAGUGAUGAAGGUCUUCGGAUCGUAAAACUCUGUUAUUAGGGAAGAACAUAUGUGUAAGUAACUGUGCACAUCUUGACGGUACCUAAUCAGAAAGCCACGGCUAACUACGUGCCAGCAGCCGCGGUAAUACGUAGGUGGCAAGCGUUAUCCGGAAUUAUUGGGCGUAAAGCGCGCGUAGGCGGUUUUUUAAGUCUGAUGUGAAAGCCCACGGCUCAACCGUGGAGGGUCAUUGGAAACUGGAAAACUUGAGUGCAGAAGGGGAAAGUGGAAUUCCAUGUGUAGCGGUGAAAUGCGCAGAGAUAUGGAGGAACACCAGUGGCGAAGGCGACUUUCUGGUCUGUAACUGACGCUGAUGUGCGAAAGCGUGGGGAUCAAACAGGAUUAGAUACCCUGGUAGUCCACGCCGUAAACGAUGAGUGCUAAGUGUUAGGGGGUUUCCGCCCCUUAGUGCUGCAGCUAACGCAUUAAGCACUCCGCCUGGGGAGUACGACCGCAAGGUUGAAACUCAAAGGAAUUGACGGGGACCCGCACAAGCGGUGGAGCAUGUGGUUUAAUUCGAAGCAACGCGAAGAACCUUACCAAAUCUUGACAUCCUUUGACAACUCUAGAGAUAGAGCCUUCCCCUUCGGGGGACAAAGUGACAGGUGGUGCAUGGUUGUCGUCAGCUCGUGUCGUGAGAUGUUGGGUUAAGUCCCGCAACGAGCGCAACCCUUAAGCUUAGUUGCCAUCAUUAAGUUGGGCACUCUAAGUUGACUGCCGGUGACAAACCGGAGGAAGGUGGGGAUGACGUCAAAUCAUCAUGCCCCUUAUGAUUUGGGCUACACACGUGCUACAAUGGACAAUACAAAGGGCAGCGAAACCGCGAGGUCAAGCAAAUCCCAUAAAGUUGUUCUCAGUUCGGAUUGUAGUCUGCAACUCGACUACAUGAAGCUGGAAUCGCUAGUAAUCGUAGAUCAGCAUGCUACGGUGAAUACGUUCCCGGGUCU